Molecule: ribosomal RNA, 349 nt
Filed under: uncultured fungus
Lineage: Eukaryota; Fungi
Description: SSU rRNA
Rfam family: Eukaryotic small subunit ribosomal RNA
Source: RNAcentral
CGAUAACGAACGAGACCUCGGCCCUUAAAUAGCCCGGUCCGCGUCCGCGGGCCGCUGGCUUCUUAGGGGGACUAUCGGCUCAAGCCGAUGGAAGUGCGCGGCAAUAACAGGUCUGUGACGCCCUUAGAUGUUCUGGGCCGCACGCGCGCUACACUGACAGGGCCAGCGAGUACAUCACCUUGGCCGAGAGGCCCGGGUAAUCUUGUUAAACCCUGUCGUGCUGGGGAUAGAGCAUUGCAAUUAUUGCUCUUCAACGAGGAAUGCCUAGUAGGCACAAGUCAUCAGCUUGUGCCGAUUACGUCCCUGCCCUUUGUACACACCGCCCGUCGCUACUACCGAUUGAAUGGCU